ACCAGACGCACAGUGUUCCUACCCUUGUGGUCUCCCCUGAGCACUACUGCUUAGUUUGUCCCAAAUGAAGUAAAAUAAAGUAUUUCUUUAGCACGGACCCACCCUCUCCCGCCUUUUCUUACAGGAAGCCAGGAGACGGCGCGCCCCUAAGAGAGGACCCCGGCUGUGGGAGAAGAGGAGGGAGCGGGGCGCCCCCGAACCGGCUAAGCCCGUUCGACCCCUACAUGGGGAGCCCAGGUCCCCGGCGACCGGACCCCGAAGCGCACUACUUGCCUGCCAACGCCUUGCUCCGAGGCCCUGGGCGCUGUCUCAGCCGCCCCCCGCCCCCUGGAGGUGCGCGGCCAGGAGCCGCCCCCGAGGAAAACAGGCCAGCAAGCAUCUGCACCAGGAGGCCAGGCCUUCUGGAAAUGUGUUGGACAGCGAUGGGUCCACACUUCCGCCUUGGCUCCUGAAUGUGGCAUAGCCAACCCAUGAGAGAUGUCAGUUGACAAAGAGCAUGAGGAUCAGGCCAUGGCCUUGUGACACAGUGGAUGAACACCUGGCUGAAGAAACCCAGGAGAGAGAAGCACUGGACACUGGCUUCUGGGCUUAGCUGCUUGGACUCUGGCCAAGGUCUGGGGAUGUCCAGGACAAUCAGCUUUCUGCUUCUGUGCCCAUAAACUCGGGGUAUGGACUCAUUUCCAGUGCUGAGAAGUUCUGAAAUUGCAAAAGAUUCUUCCUAGCAAGUUCUCGACCUGUCUUCUAACUACCCUGCCAUGUGGCCCUCUCUGGGCCUCAGUUUCCCAUCUGUGAAUGAAAGCACUAGACUCGAAGGGUCCCUUCUGGCUCCUCUAACUCCAACCGAGAGGCACAGCUCAGGCUGAGCAGUUGCAUUUCCUCAUCACGGGGGACUGACAGGGAUCUUUUGCAAUGCUCAAUUCUAACAUCAAAAUUCCCCCAAAUAUUCCUUUUUUUUUCUUUUUUCGAGACAGAGUCUCACUCUUGUCGCCCAAGCUGGAGUGCAAUGGCACAAUCUCAGCUCACUGCAACCUUCCCCCCCGCCGGUUCAAGUGAUUCUCCUGCCUCAGCCUCCCGAAUAUCUGGGACUACAGGCGCACGCCACUAUGCCAGCUAAUUUUUUUGUAUUUUUAGUAGAGACAGGGUUUCAUCAUUUCGGCCAGGCUAGUCUCGAACUCCUGACCUCAGGUGAUCUGCCUGCCUCGGCCUCCCAAAGUGUUGGGAUUACAGGUGUGAGCCACCUCACCGGCCCCAAAUAUUUAUUUGAAGACAUUGAUUCAGGAUGCUUCUAGCCAUUAAAUUUGAUUUGCAAAUGAAUUUUUCUGGAUCACCUCACAGGCCCUGGGGAAUGGCCAGGGGUCUGGGUGGCCAUAUUUUCCGAAUAAAGCUCAAAACCAAAA
Homo sapiens (human) is the source of this 1397-nucleotide long non-coding RNA. RefSeq lists it as uncharacterized. The record is from RefSeq and is a predicted model, not a curated record. NCBI's taxonomy places the organism in Eukaryota, Metazoa, Chordata, Mammalia, Primates, Hominidae. The transcript has 3 exons.